AACGCACAUUGCACUGCCUGGUCAUCCGGGCAGUAUAUCUGUUUGAGUAUCAGCUACUUAUUCUCUCGACUAUCUGGGAAGCGAAUGGCUAGUUUGGGUGGCACCAGCUGCUAUAGUUCCUUGGGUCGGAUAUCCUGGGUGUUGCGACGUGUUUGCAUGCCUGGAAAAUUCAGAGUUCACCUUUGGACACAUUUGAAUGUGUCAACGUGGACAGCGCAUGUCCAAAGCGACCUCGCGGUUGCAGGACGUGCCGUCAGAGGUCUGUGUAGACUGAGAUGGAGAACACCAUUCUCCUGGCUAGCCUGCCUGCCAUACUCUUCUGUAUAGGAAGACCUCUGUGAGUCGAGACGCGUGUUGUACCCUGCACAUGCCGCCCUUGACGCUUUGAUCUCAAAUCAGAUAAGAGUACCCGCUGAACUUAA
This 422-nucleotide unclassified non-coding RNA is filed under the name uncultured fungus. RNAcentral describes it as "partial contains ITS1, 5.8S rRNA and ITS2". Lineage: Eukaryota; Fungi. The record is from RNAcentral.